Long non-coding RNA from Lathyrus oleraceus (garden pea), 1622 nucleotides. RefSeq lists it as uncharacterized. The record is from RefSeq and is a predicted model, not a curated record. The transcript is spliced from 5 exons. Lineage: Eukaryota; Viridiplantae; Streptophyta; Magnoliopsida; Fabales; Fabaceae.
GAACUCGACCGUGUUGGUUCACCCUUCACUUUGAAACUCUGGACCGCCGUCUCUCUCCUUUGAUCCCUUAUGUUCAACCCCAACAUCUAAACAAACACAAAGUCAACCUCGACUCCGCUUACAAACGUCUUCAACACCCACGUUCAAAGCGCAUCGGGGAAAAAAGCUUUAUACGAAACGCUAGAAUCCAUACUGCAUCCUUCAUCUUCGGCGCCGUCAUCGCAUCAAUGUCGUGUUUCUUCCCUACAUCGAUUCAAGCUCGUCGUUCAACCUCACUGUGACCUCGGAAUCAAAAACAGCAGCGUGUCUCGUCGGUGUCGCGCUCGCGACUCGCGUUUCAUACCUCAACGAAUUCUGGAUUCGCGGGGAUAUUUGAUGGAAAACACAAUCUCCGUAACAUAACUCAAAUUAAAAUUUGCAUGAAACAAUAGCGAUUGGGGAUUGAAUACGUAUCGGAAUCCCGUAUUGCGUGUUGUUGUCGAUCGAAGUAUGACUCCAGACUCACGUUUGAUGUCCUUAUAUUCCCCAUUCAUAAGAACGUGAGGUUUAGGAGUGGAGCUGAACCUGCCUAUGCGUGGAAAAUGAAGGAGUUGCAGAGGAUUAGAAACUCGACACGGUGGAUCUCUGGUGAAUCUCAGGAAACACUCCUGCAAUUCUGGAAGCAAUCUCAAUCAGCUCACCAGCCCAAAGAGUUGCAACAACGGCAUCAUGGCUCUUACUAAGUAAAUGGUGAAAAGGGAUACCUGUUUGUUCACGUUCCAAGUCUUCGAACAGUUCCUUGGCAAAAGCAAGCUGAUCAUUGGUAAAUACCAAUAUUCGGCGCUCUUAUGAUGGCUUCGACACUGCUAAUGAUUGGAUGUCGUUGCCGUGAAUUGCAAGAUGCUAACAUGGGCAACAACAGUUUAUUAGAGGUGGAAAGAUUGGUUGUUGAAGACGGUUGAAAGGUUAGGGGUUGUUAAUUCAUGCUUAGCAAAUUUCUCCCAGUCGUUGUUAAUAUACUACCACUGCAAGCUGCCGAACUGUUACUUACCUUGCUGCUCACGAUGAAUUGCAUCGUUACUGUUCAUGUUGUCAGCUAUGCUCAGAUGAGUUUAAAUAAAGGGUUCAUACUGGUUGCUUUCAAAGUGAAGCUAUGCAGAACCGUUAACGGAAUGGUGCCGAAGGAAACGUUAGAAGCAAAAAUGCAAAGCUAGUGAAGGUUAGCUUCUGUUAUGAACUGAACACUGGAUUGAAAAACCAGUCUAAUGCAGGGUGAAGCUCUCCAUGAUAUCCUGUUAGCUCAAACACUAUUAAAGGUGAGGUUCAGUUGGGAAUUGGUUCAGAUGAGUUUCAGUUUGGAUUGAUGGUUCAUAAGCCUCGUCAUGUGAACUAACAAGGCGAAUCUGGGCAGUUUUCAUGUGAAGCCAUCAUUGGUUGCUAAUUUGUUUGUGAUGUCCAAAUAACCACUGUCAUCAAUUCAAAAUAAUUAGAAGUGCAAUCUUGUUGUAAUUGUGUAAAGUUGGAUUUUGAAAUAGUCAUGUAGUUGUGAAAUGUAAUUGUAAUAUACAUUAUAUAUUUGGCUUGUAAAUGGUGUAAUUUUAAAUUGCAUCUAAUGAUUGGAAUUGAAUGUGUUGGAAACUGAA